AACGAACGCUGGCGGCAGGCCUAACACAUGCAAGUCGAGCGGACAUCUUCGGCUGUUAGCGGCGGACGGGUGAGUAACGCGGGGGAACGUGCCCUUUGCUUCGGAAUAGCCUCGGGAAACGGGGAGUAAUACCGGAUGUACCCUUUGGGGGACAGCUUUAUCGGCAAAGGAUCGGCCCGCGUUGGAUUAGGUAGUUGGUGGGGUAAUGGCCUACCAAGCCGACGAUCCAUAGCUGGUUUGAGAGGAUGAUCAGCCACACCGGGACUGGGACACGGCCCGGACUCUUACGGGAUGCAGCAGUGGGUAAUCUUAGACAGUGGGGUGUGUCCUGAUCUAGCCCUGCCUCGUGAGCGAUGAAGGUCUUAGGGUUGUAAAGCUCUUUCACCGGGGAAGAUAAUGACGUUACCCGGAGAAGAAGCCCCGGCUAACUCCGUG
RNAcentral lists this ribosomal RNA (435 nucleotides) under uncultured bacterium. RNAcentral describes it as "partial 16S ribosomal RNA". It matches the Rfam family "Bacterial small subunit ribosomal RNA", at positions 29 to 507 of the family's 1533-position model. The record is from RNAcentral.